UGGGGAAUAUUGGCACAAUGGGCGCAAGCCUGAUGCAGCCAUGCCGCGUGUGUGAAGAAGGCCUUCGGGUUGUAAAGCACUUUCAGCGAGGAGGAAGGUGGUGAACUUAAUACGUUCAUCAAUUGACGUUACUCGCAGAAGAAGCACCGGCUAACUCCGUGCCAGCAGCCGCGGUAAUACGGAGGGUGCAAGCGUUAAUCGGAAUUACUGGGCGUAAAGCGCACGCAGGCGGUUUGUUAAGUCAGAUGUGAAAUCCCCGGGCUCAACCUGGGAACUGCAUUUGAAACUGGCAAGCUAGAGUCUCGUAGAGGGGGGUAGAAUUCCAGGUGUAGCGGUGAAAUGCGUAGAGAUCUGGAGGAAUACCGGUGGCGAAGGCGGCCCCCCUGGANGAAGACUGACGCUCAGGUGCGAAAGGCGUGGGGGAGCAAACAGAUUAGNUACCCUGGUAGUCACGCUGUAAACGAUGUCGAUUUUGGAGGGUUUGUGCCCCUNAGCGNGGUUCCGGAGCUAACG
Molecule: ribosomal RNA, 513 nt
Filed under: uncultured bacterium
Lineage: Bacteria
Description: partial 16S ribosomal RNA
Rfam family: Bacterial small subunit ribosomal RNA
Source: RNAcentral